UACGGAAGGCAGCAGUGGGGAAUAUUGGACAAUGGGCGAAAGCCUGAUCCAGCCAUGCCGCGUGUGUGAAGAAGGCCUUUUGGUUGUAAAGCACUUUAAGCGAGGAGGAGGCUACUUGGAUUAAUACUCUAGGAUAGUGGACGUUACUCGCAGAAUAAGCACCGGCUAACUCUGUGCCAGCAGCCGCGGUAAUACAGAGGGUGCGAGCGUUAAUCGGAUUUACUGGGCGUAAAAGCGUGCGUAGGCGGCUUCUUAAGUCGGAUGUGAAAUCCCUGAGCUUAACUUAGGAAUUGCAUUCGAUACUGGGAAGCUAGAGUAUGGGAGAGGAUGGUAGAAUUCCAGGUGUAGCGGUGAAAUGCGUAGAGAUCUGGAGGAAUACCGAUGGCGAAGGCAGCCAUCUGGCCUAAUACUGACGCUGAGGUACGAAAGCAUGGGGAGCAAACAGGAAUUAAGAAUAACCCGGU
This 464-nucleotide ribosomal RNA is filed under the name uncultured bacterium. RNAcentral's name for it is "bacterial SSU rRNA". It matches the Rfam family "Bacterial small subunit ribosomal RNA", at positions 340 to 791 of the family's 1533-position model. The record is from RNAcentral.